UGGUAUGCCCCAGCAACUGCAAAAUAAUGUCUGUCCACUGAGUAGUGAAUACAGUAUCAAGAUCGAGAAUCAGGAUCAAGGAUGAGAAGCUCCUCAGAGCACAAUGAGCAUGUGCGGGUUACUAAACCUUAGAAAAUCCAAGAUGAGAAACUCCUGUGACAACAUUGAAGGACUGGGUCAUUACUACUAUACAGAUGCUGAACCUCAAGAUCCAGAUUAAACCAGCUCUGCUUUACAUAGGACGCCUGCCAAGAGUUUCUAGGAUGAAAUGAAUUCAUCCUCCAUUUCAGCAGGGAAGACAGAGCCUCAAGCAAAAGAAGGAAUCCUGUUUAGAAAUUGAUAAUAAACAUGUUUGCUUUAA
This is a long non-coding RNA of Xenopus laevis (African clawed frog), 361 nucleotides long. RefSeq lists it as uncharacterized. The record is from RefSeq and is a predicted model, not a curated record. NCBI's taxonomy places the organism in Eukaryota, Metazoa, Chordata, Amphibia, Anura, Pipidae. The transcript has 3 exons.